This 450-nucleotide ribosomal RNA is filed under the name uncultured bacterium. Its description in RNAcentral is "partial 16S ribosomal RNA". It matches the Rfam family "Bacterial small subunit ribosomal RNA", at positions 338 to 795 of the family's 1533-position model. The record is from RNAcentral.
CCUACGGGGGGCUGCAGUAAGGAAUAUUGGUCAAUGGAGGAAACUCUGAACCAGCCAUCCCGCGUGAAGGAUGAAGGGGCUCUGCCUUGUAAACUUCUUUUGUCUGGGGCGAAAAAGCUCGAUUUAUCGAGAACUGACGGUACCAGACGAAUAAGCAACGGCUAACUCCGUGCCAGCAGCCGCGGUAAUACGGAGGGUGCAGGCGUUAUCCGGAAUCACGGGGGCGUAAGGGUCUGAGUGCGGCUGUGGUGAAAGGCUGGGGCUGAACCAUGGAAUUGCCAUUGAUACUGCAGAGCUUGAAUGAGGUUGAGGUUGGCGGAAUGUGACAUGUAGCGGUGAAAUGCUUAGAUAUGUCAUGGAACACCGAUUGCGAAGGCAGCUGACUGGACCUAUAUUGACGCUGAGGCACGAAAGCGUGGGGAGCGAACAGGAUUAGAUACCCCAGUAGUC